GAGGUCGGCGGGCGGACGGGCGCCUCGCCAACCCGGUCAGGUCCGGAAGGAAGCAGCCGCAACGAGUUUUCGCUCGGGUCGUCUGUCCGGCCUCCCA
RNAcentral lists this signal recognition particle RNA (97 nucleotides) under Rhodovastum atsumiense. Its description in RNAcentral is "Bacterial small signal recognition particle RNA". It matches the Rfam family "Bacterial small signal recognition particle RNA". From Rfam's summary of the family: The signal recognition particle (SRP) is a universally conserved ribonucleoprotein involved in the co-translational targeting of proteins to membranes. Lineage: Bacteria; Pseudomonadati; Pseudomonadota; Alphaproteobacteria; Acetobacterales; Acetobacteraceae. The record is from Rfam by way of RNAcentral.